This 1336-nucleotide long non-coding RNA is filed under the name Capsicum annuum. Its description in RNAcentral is "long non-coding RNA (CANN_LNC019968)". Lineage: Eukaryota; Viridiplantae; Streptophyta; Magnoliopsida; Solanales; Solanaceae. The record is from RNAcentral.
CAAAAUAUAGUGUAUAGUCCAAUUAUACAGACCCGAAACAUAAAGAAUGCAGAAAUGUAAACCUACUCUAGUCUAGGAUAAUCCUAACUACACUCCAUUGCUUUCUCCACCCGAUGUUCCGGGCCUUGAUCGUACGCCGUCUUCAAGUACAUGAUACUUUGGGGCAUUCCCCGGAUAAAUCAAUACAAAUCCCAUGGGGCAUUCCCUGGCCAAAUGAAUACAAUAGAUCCCAAUGCAUAAAUCAAAACCACUCCACAGACAUUUCAUCAUUAAACAAUCACUGAUCUAAAUUUUCCUACCCGAACCUACUGUUGCCUACCCUGCUCGACCUAUCAAUCAACGACAUCAAUGAAUCAAAACAACAAUAUUCACUUUAUCAACUUUCAAUUCUCAUCCCACUUAUUUCUAUUUGAGUUUAAAUCAUUCAAUUCAAACAAUCAAUAUGAUGAUCCAAACAUAUCAAAAUCAACAAAAAUAAAAGCCACACACCAUGAAUUCAACACAUAAAGCAUCAAAUGAUUAAGAUUAAUCGAGAAGGAGAUGAGAAAUAGACCUCAACUAUCUUCCAAACAAUUAGCGACAGAUCGAAGCUCACGAACCAAUGAAACUCUACCAACCUCAAGAUCAACUCGUCAACUCGAUUUAAGAAAUUGCUAUCUAAAAUAAGACAGACGAACCAACGAAUAACGAUGCCCAAAUCUAAUACAGAUACAAAAAUGAUGCGGUUUAUGAGUUUUUUUUUAGAUGGUGAUGUCGUUUUCACCUAACCGGAGCUCUGGCGAGUUCAAAAGGAAUGGAAAACGAAGAAAACACUCAGAUUCCGGCUGACGGUAACUUUUCCCGAUGAGAAAUCGCCGAAAAACCCCAAAAUCAACCGGAUUUGCACUGUUUUUGUUCAAAACCUCGAUUUCUAUCUGUUUUUCUCCUCAAGCUCACUGAUUUCGUCCCCAAUAUCUCUAUUUUUCUCUAUUUUCCUCAUUUUUUUGAUUUCGAUCUCUCCCUCUUCGUUGUUCUCUGCUUCCUCUUUCAUCUCUCUCUCCGUCUCUCACUAUGUGGUUGUGUGUAUUGAAUAUAUGGGUGUCUAUGUGUUGAAUCAAAAGAAAAGAAAAAUCUCCAUUCCUGUAUUCUCUGUGUAUAUGUUGAAUUGGGAUCCUUUACUUUAUGGUCACUACGAUGUGCGUGAAUUCUUGUAGGUGUGUUAUUGUGAGAUUGUAUAUGGGUAUUGUGAAAAAUGGAAAUGGUCCAGUGGUGUGUGAUUUCUAUUCACUGUGUGUAAAUUUGAGUGAGGGUAAGUCAAUUUGUUUUGCUGUGGGGGCCCGGAGUGUAUGUGAGGUGU